This 424-nucleotide ribosomal RNA is filed under the name uncultured bacterium. RNAcentral's name for it is "bacterial SSU rRNA". It matches the Rfam family "Bacterial small subunit ribosomal RNA", at positions 356 to 772 of the family's 1533-position model. The record is from RNAcentral.
GGGGAAUUUUGGACAAUGGGGGAAACCCUGAUCCAGCCAUGCCGCGUGAGUGAAGAAGGCCUUCGGGUUGUAAAGCUCUUUCGGCGGGGACGAAACGGUCCGUGACAACACCACGGAUUAAUGACGGUACUCGCAGAAGAAGCACCGGCUAACUACGUGCCAGCAGCCGCGGUAAUACGUAGGGUGCGGGCGUUAAUCGGAAUUACUGGGCGUAAAGCGUGCGCAGGCGGCCUCUUAAGUCAGAUGUGAAAUCCCCGGGCUUAACCUGGGAACUGCGUUUGAAACUGGGAGGCUAGAGUGUGGAAGAGGGGGGUGGAAUUCCAGGUGUAGCAGUGAAAUGCGUAGAGAUCUGGAGGAACACCGAUGGCGAAGGCAGCCCCCUGGGCUGACACUGACGCUCAUGCACGAAAGCGUGGAGAGCAAA